This 384-nucleotide long non-coding RNA is filed under the name Triticum aestivum (bread wheat). RNAcentral's name for it is "long non-coding RNA (TAES_LNC016196)". The record is from RNAcentral. Lineage: Eukaryota; Viridiplantae; Streptophyta; Magnoliopsida; Poales; Poaceae.
CGAAUUUGUCCGCGCACAGGGGAACCCCGCCGGCCAGAUUGCUGAUGGUGCGCCGGCAAACCUUCGGAUUGAUUUCUCCAUUGCUGACCUUCUAUUAUGGUUCGGGGCCCGACCAAGGGCAGCAGAUCUUUAGAAAAUCUCCACCCAAAACACGGACGAACAACCACACCCAGGACCAGAUCCGAACCUGUUGACCGGCUGCAUCGAGAACACCAUGUUCGCCGGAGCGGAGUGCUCCUAACCCUAAAAAUAUAGUGGUUCGCCGGCUCGCCGCUCUCAACAAAACAAGAUCUACAGCCGGGAGGUAGACUCACUGCCGUCUCACCGCCGCCGUUACCGGAAAGCAGCAGAACUGAUCCACGGACCAAGACGACACUGACGACU